ACAAUCCUCUGAAAACGAACAACACAGUUGCAUACUACAAAAUAUCAAAAAGCAGAUUGCUUCAUAGCUAAAACGGUGGGGCUUUAGAUUUACUCCUCGUCAUCACCGUCUGCAUCACCACCACCAGAGGCUUUCUUGGAGGCAGACUUCUCGUUCCUUCUCUUCACUCUUCCUGGACGGCCACCACCGAAGGGACUGGUCAGAGCAAAGUCGAUGUGCUUCUGUGAAUCAAGUCUCACCAUGAAUGAUGGAAUGUUCACCAAUUGCUUUCCAACCCUACAGCAACACCACCCAAACAAAGAUAAGUAACCAAUAUUUAGAGCCAGAUCAAAACAUUCUUCAGGGGUUUCAACAUUGAGCCACUAACGAGAUACAUAAGGUGUCAAUACAAGAAAGGGUGAAAUCAUUCAAAUGACAAGUGUGAGAACAAAUACAGUGUUUGAAGAUGUGUAACACAAAGGGUGAAAUCAUUCAAAUGAAAAUAGAAAAAAUGUUAGUUUCAAUUCGGAUCCAUCCAUUUGAUAUCAUAAAGAUAAAACUCAUACUCAUGCACAAAUGAAUCACAGAGAUGCACUACCUGAUAUGCCUCUGCCUGAUGAGGACACGAGAGUGAUGGAUAGACUUAGCCAUACCAGACUUGAACACAAUAGUCUGAAGACGACGUUCAAGAAAGUUCUCAACAGUCAAAGCCAAGACGUAAUCGAGCUUGUUCUGACUCUCAUCAAGAAGCCCGUAACG
RNAcentral lists this long non-coding RNA (738 nucleotides) under Arabidopsis lyrata. Its description in RNAcentral is "long non-coding RNA (ALYR_LNC001212)". The record is from RNAcentral. Lineage: Eukaryota; Viridiplantae; Streptophyta; Magnoliopsida; Brassicales; Brassicaceae.